UGUCUCAAAGAUUAAGCCAUGCAUGUCUAAGUAUAAGCAACUAUACUGUGAAACUGCGAAUGGCUCAUUAAAUCAGUUAUCGUUUAUUUGAUAGUACCUUACUACUUGGAUAACCGUGGUAAUUCUAGAGCUAAUACAUGCUAAAAACCUCGACUUCGGAAGGGGUGUAUUUAUUAGAUAAAAAACCAAUGCCCUUCGGGGCUCCCUGGUGAUUCAUAAUAACUUAACGAAUCGCAUGGCCUUGUGCCGGCGAUGGUUCAUUCAAAUUUCUGCCCUAUCAACUUUCGAUGGUAGGAUAGUGGCCUACCAUGGUUUCAACGGGUAACGGGGAAUUAGGGUUCUAUUCCGGAGAGGGAGCCUGAGAAACGGCUACCACAUCCAAGGAAGGCAGCAGGCGCGCAAAUUACCCAAUCCCGACACGGGGAGGUAGUGACAAUAAAUACUGAUACAGGGCUCUUUUGGGUCUUGUAAUUGGAAUGAGUACAAUUUAAAUCCCUUAACGAGGAACAAUUGGAGGGCAAGUCUGGUGCCAGCAGCCGCGGUAAUUCCAGCUCCAAUAGCGUAUAUUAAAGUUGUUGCAGUUAAAAAGCUCGUAGUUGAACCUUGGGCCUGGCUGGCCGGUCCGCCUCACCGCGUGCACUGGUCCGGCCGGGCCUUUCCUUCUGGGGAGCCGCAUGCCCUUCAUUGGGUGUGUCGGGGAACCAGGACUUUUACUUUGAAAAAAUUAGAGUGUUCAAAGCAGGCCUAUGCUCGAAUACAUUAGCAUGGAAUAAUAGAAUAGGACGUGUGGUUCUAUUUUGUUGGUUUCUAGGACCGCCGUAAUGAUUAAUAGGGAUAGUCGGGGGCAUCAGUAUUCAAUUGUCAGAGGUGAAAUUCUUGGAUUUAUUGAAGACUAACUACUGCGAAAGCAUUUGCCAAGGAUGUUUUCAUUAAUCAGUGAACGAAAGUUAGGGGAUCGAAGACGAUCAGAUACCGUCGUAGUCUUAACCAUAAACUAUGCCGACUAGGGAUCGGGCGAUGUUAUCUUUUUGACUCGCUCGGCACCUCACGAGAAAUCAAAGUC
This 1063-nucleotide ribosomal RNA is filed under the name Trochila bostonensis. RNAcentral's name for it is "SSU rRNA". It matches the Rfam family "Eukaryotic small subunit ribosomal RNA", at positions 33 to 1105 of the family's 1831-position model. The record is from RNAcentral. Lineage: Eukaryota; Fungi; Ascomycota; Leotiomycetes; Helotiales; Cenangiaceae.